CGUUCGAUAGCUCAGUUGGUAGAGCGGAGGACUGUAGAUCCUUAGGUCGCUGGUUCGAAUCCGGCUCGAAGGA
This 73-nucleotide transfer RNA is filed under the name Saccoglossus kowalevskii. RNAcentral's name for it is "tRNA-Tyr". It matches the Rfam family "tRNA". Rfam says of the family: Transfer RNA (tRNA) molecules are approximately 80 nucleotides in length. Their secondary structure includes four short double-helical elements and three loops (D, anti-codon, and T loops). The record is from RNAcentral. Lineage: Eukaryota; Metazoa; Hemichordata; Enteropneusta; Harrimaniidae.